Molecule: ribosomal RNA, 446 nt
Filed under: uncultured bacterium
Lineage: Bacteria
Description: partial 16S ribosomal RNA
Rfam family: Bacterial small subunit ribosomal RNA
Source: RNAcentral
CCUACGGGAGGCAGCAGUCGAGAAUCUUUCACAAUGGGGGAAACCCUGAUGGUGCGAAGCCGCGUGGGGGAAUGAAGGUCUUCGGAUUGUAAACCCCUGUCAUGUGGGAGCAAAUUAAAAAGAUAGUACCACAAGAGGAAGAGACGGAUAACUCGGUGCCAGCAGCCGCGGUAAUACAGAGGUCUCAAGCGUUGUUCGGAAUCACUGGGCGUAAAGCGUGCGUAGGCUGUUUCGGAAGUCGUGUGUGAAAGGGGCGGGCUCAACCCUCGGACGGCGCAUGAUACUGCGAGACUAGAGUGAUGUAGGGGGAAGCGGAAUUCGCGGUGUAGCAGUGAAAUGCGUAGAUAUCAAGAGGAACACUCGUGGCGAAGGCGGGUUCCUGGACAGUAACUGACGCUGAGGCACGAAGGUCAGGGGAGCGAAAGGGAUUAGAUACCCGGGUAGUC